RNAcentral lists this ribosomal RNA (292 nucleotides) under uncultured bacterium. RNAcentral describes it as "partial 16S ribosomal RNA". It matches the Rfam family "Bacterial small subunit ribosomal RNA", at positions 505 to 796 of the family's 1533-position model. The record is from RNAcentral.
GUGUCAGCAGCCGCGGUAAUACGAAGGACCCGAGCGUUAUCCGGAUUUAUUGGGUUUAAAGGGUGCGUAGGCGGAUUAGUAAGUCAGUGGUGAAAGCCCAUCGCUUAACGGUGGAACUGCCAUUGAUACUGCUAGUCUUGAGUAUGGUUGAGGUGGGCGGAAUGUGUCAUGUAGCGGUGAAAUGCUUAGAUAUGACCCAGAACACCAAUUGCGAAGGCAGCUCGCUAAGCCAUAACUGACGCUGAUGCACGAAAGCGUGGGGAGCAAACAGGAUUAGAUACCCUAGUAGUCC